Molecule: long non-coding RNA, 525 nt
Organism: Crocodylus porosus (Australian saltwater crocodile)
Lineage: Eukaryota; Metazoa; Chordata; Crocodylia; Crocodylidae
Source: Ensembl
CUUCCAUGCUUCAGAUGGAGUUCACUGCCUCUCCAUUUAGUGUUGAGAUGAUGUUACCAGGGGUUUCAGAAAAAUGAAAUGAACUGGACAUUAGGCUUUAUUAGCAAUGCAAUCAUCUGAUUCACCUCCCAACAGAUAAAGAAGGACCAGGGCAGGCUGUGGAAAGAGAGGGAUUCUCAGAAGGCAAUCUUCUGAUUGUCUGCCUCCAUCUUCACCACCAUUGUUGGGGCCUGAUCCAAACGUCCAUUGAAAGUAAGCGCAAUCAAAGCCAACAACAGAAUGGAGCCAUCAUCUUUCCUAAUCAGGCUGCCUAGGGGGAGAAAGCAAUCUAUUAAAGACAGCUAACCUUUGAUGGCAGUGAAUUCUCAAUGGGCAGAUGCCAUUCUGCAGCACUCACCUUGAAGCUGGUCUGGAGCACUUAGUCAUGUCCCUACAUCUCUACAGGAGGUGGAGGUAGUAUCUUCACUUGAACAUGUCUUUUUCUAGAUUUUAUUCUAGCUUCAUUAAACCGUACAUAUAUGCAAC